UCAUUGACUUCUACACUAACUUUUCAGCACUAGAAUUGGAUCAAAAUAAUGGAAGCAACAAAGCCAAAUACUAACUCAAUUCUAAUACUCCACAAUGCUAUGAUUAUAACGAUGGAUUCUCAAACUCGUGUUUAUCGAGACGGUGCAAUUGUUAUCCAAAACGACUCAAUUAUAGCCAUCGGCAAAUCAAUCGAAAUUCUCCCCAGAUUUUCUGCUCUCUCACCUGAAGUUCUUGACCUACGUGGACAAAUUCUUCUCCCUGGGUUCAUAAACACACAUGUUCACACGUCUCAGCAAUUAGCGAGAGGAAUAGCUGAUGAUGUGGAUUUGUUAACAUGGUUACAUGAUCGUAUUUGGCCUUACGAGUCCAACAUGACUGAAGAAGAUUCCUACAUUUCCACUUUACUCUGCGGAAUCGAACUUAUUCACUCUGGUGUUACAUGCUUUGCUGAAGCUGGAGGUCAGCAUGUGUCGGGAAUGGCAAGUGCAGUUGAAGCAUUAGGCUUGCGUGCGUGUUUGACCGAGUCAAUUAUGGAUUGUGGUGAAGGUUUGCCAGCUUCAUGGGCCGCUAAGACUACUGAAGAUUGUAUUAAGUCGCAGAAGGAUCUGUUUAUGAAACACCAUAAUACAGCAGAUGGACGUAUCAAAGUAUGGCUUGGGAUACGGCAAAUUAUGAAUUCAACUGAGCAGUUACUUAUUGAGACGAGAGACACAGCAAAAGAACUAGAAACUGGGAUUCACAUGCAUAUUGCAGAGAUACCCUAUGAAAACCAACUGAUUGUUGAAACUCGAGGAGUUGAUCAUGGAACUGUUACAUAUCUUGAGAAGAUCAAGUUCCUGCAGAACAAUUUGCUGGCAGCACAUACUGUUUGGGUCAAUGAGAAAGAGAUUGAUUGUCUCUCAGAGGCUGGAGUCAAAGUGUCACACUGUCCUGCUGCUGCAAUGAGAAUGCUUGGAUUUGCCCCCAUUAGGGAAAUGCUCAAUGCUGGUGUUUGCGUAUCCUUGGGAACAGAUGGUGCACCAUCAAACAAUAGAAUGAGCAUUGUUGAUGAGAUGUACCUGGCCUCUUUGAUCAACAAAGGCCGUGAAGUAUUUUCCACAGGAACCACUGAUCCUACAGCUUUGCCUGCUGAAACAAUCCUCAGAAUGGCCACAAUAAAUGGUGCCAAGUCUGUACUUUGGGACAAGGAAAUAGGUUCACUUGAGGUUGGGAAGAAGGCUGAUAUCGUUGUGGUCAAUCCUUAUUCUUGGUCCAUGAUGCCAAUUAAUGACUGCAUUUCCAGCCUCGUUUAUUGCAUGAGAACUGAGAAUAUCGUUUCUGUUAUGUGCAACGGCUGUUGGAUUAUGAAAGAUAAGAAAAUCACAACCGUAGACGAGUUGAUGAGAUGUACUUGGCCUCUUUGAUCAACAAAGGCCGUGAAGUAUUUUCCACAGGAACCACUGAUCGUACAGCUUUGCCUGCUGAAACAAUCCUCAGAAUGGCCACAAUAAAUGGUGCCAAGUCUGUACUUUGGGACAAGGAAAUAGGUUCACUUGAGGUUGGGAAGAAGGCUGAUAUCGUUGCGGUCAAUCCUUAUUCUUGGUCCAUGAUGCCAAUUCAUGACUGGUAUGAAUCAUUAUAAUGGAGAAUAAGCACACUGUGGAUUAACAUUAUUAUUGUUGAGAAUAUAAUUAAGUAAAUAAAA
Molecule: RNA transcript, 1685 nt
Organism: Lycium barbarum (goji berry)
Lineage: Eukaryota; Viridiplantae; Streptophyta; Magnoliopsida; Solanales; Solanaceae
Exons: 11
Source: RefSeq, a predicted model, not a curated record